GAAAAAUGUAUGCUGCGGUUCCUGAAGAUCUCUGAUUUAAGUUUAAACAAAGAAGGCUUCUUUGAAAGGUCCAAGUAAGAAAUGCCAAGCUAAGGAGGAUGGAGCUGGCCUGGGAGCUUUGUGAGUUAUCAGGUGCCUUUGCGGAUCCAAACGAUCGGAGACCAAAUCCUGGCCAUACCCCUGAGCAAUCAUGUGACCUUGGGAACAUAUCUUUACCAUCACCUUCAUUAAAUCAAAACCGCGGUACUUCACUUUGCGACUCUUCAGUUUUGUAUGAGAAAAUCGUGCUUUAUGCUUUAUGUUACCGGUGAAAGUAGGGAAACCUGGAGACUCGUGCCGUGGAAGAGAGAAACAGCGAGAAAACCGAGUUGCUGAAUCCCAGCGUUUCAGAGUUGGGAGGGAGGCGUUCGGUCCCUAAUUUACCGAGGAGGAAGCGGAGGGGUGACGUGUCCUGGAGUCUCAUUCAAGACACAGACACAGCUCUUUAUUGAGGACCCGGGGGGUUGCUAUGGUUAAACUGAAGGCGGAAACUAACACUCUUUCGAAGUCAAUUUGAGAGGAGCAUUUAGUUACAAAAGCUGUCAACAAUUCGGGUGUAACUAAGUUCAUUGAGGAAUGCAUCAAAUGAGUCAGCUGUCAGACCCGGUGAAACCGAGUUGCUUAACGGAACUGACUCUUUACUAACAAGCCUUCUAUAGGGUCCACUGACUCUCUAGCUUCGAUUCACAAACUCCCGCAAUGCUUCCCGAAGGACACGGAAAGCUCCGAGUGCCGCACGAGGAAUGGAAACAAGA
Long non-coding RNA from Cervus elaphus (red deer), 794 nucleotides. RefSeq lists it as uncharacterized. The record is from RefSeq and is a predicted model, not a curated record. Lineage: Eukaryota; Metazoa; Chordata; Mammalia; Artiodactyla; Cervidae. The transcript has 3 exons.